Molecule: ribosomal RNA, 1463 nt
Filed under: Leuconostoc pseudomesenteroides
Lineage: Bacteria; Bacillati; Bacillota; Bacilli; Lactobacillales; Lactobacillaceae
Description: bacterial SSU rRNA
Rfam family: Bacterial small subunit ribosomal RNA
Source: RNAcentral
GAUGAACGCUGGCGGCGUGCCUAAUACAUGCAAGUCGAACGCACAGCGAAAGGUGCUUGCACCUUUCAAGUGAGUGGCGAACGGGUGAGUAACACGUGGACAACCUGCCUCAAGGCUGGGGAUAACAUUUGGAAACAGAUGCUAAUACCGAAUGAAACUUAGUGUCGCAUGACACAAAGUUAAAAGGCGCUUUGGCGUCACCUAGAGAUGGAUCCGCGGUGCAUUAGUUAGUUGGUGGGGUAAAGGCCUACCAAGACAAUGAUGCAUAGCCGAGUUGAGAGACUGAUCGGCCACAUUGGGACUGAGACACGGCCCAAACUCCUACGGGAGGCUGCAGUAGGGAAUCUUCCACAAUGGGCGAAAGCCUGAUGGAGCAACGCCGCGUGUGUGAUGAAGGCUUUCGGGUCGUAAAGCACUGUUGUAUGGGAAGAACAGCUAGAAUAGGGAAUGAUUUUAGUUUGACGGUACCAUACCAGAAAGGGACGGCUAAAUACGUGCCAGCAGCCGCGGUAAUACGUAUGUCCCGAGCGUUAUCCGGAUUUAUUGGGCGUAAAGCGAGCGCAGACGGUUGAUUAAGUCUGAUGUGAAAGCCCGGAGCUCAACUCCGGAAUGGCAUUGGAAACUGGUUAACUUGAGUGCAGUAGAGGUAAGUGGAACUCCAUGUGUAGCGGUGGAAUGCGUAGAUAUAUGGAAGAACACCAGUGGCGAAGGCGGCUUACUGGACUGUAACUGACGUUGAGGCUCGAAAGUGUGGGUAGCAAACAGGAUUAGAUACCCUGGUAGUCCACACCGUAAACGAUGAACACUAGGUGUUAGGAGGUUUCCGCCUCUUAGUGCCGAAGCUAACGCAUUAAGUGUUCCGCCUGGGGAGUACGACCGCAAGGUUGAAACUCAAAGGAAUUGACGGGGACCCGCACAAGCGGUGGAGCAUGUGGUUUAAUUCGAAGCAACGCGAAGAACCUUACCAGGUCUUGACAUCCUUUGAAGCUUUUAGAGAUAGAAGUGUUCUCUUCGGAGACAAAGUGACAGGUGGUGCAUGGUCGUCGUCAGCUCGUGUCGUGAGAUGUUGGGUUAAGUCCCGCAACGAGCGCAACCCUUAUUGUUAGUUGCCAGCAUUCAGAUGGGCACUCUAGCGAGACUGCCGGUGACAAACCGGAGGAAGGCGGGGACGACGUCAGAUCAUCAUGCCCCUUAUGACCUGGGCUACACACGUGCUACAAUGGCGUAUACAACGAGUUGCCAACCCGCGAGGGUGAGCUAAUCUCUUAAAGUACGUCUCAGUUCGGAUUGUAGUCUGCAACUCGACUACAUGAAGUCGGAAUCGCUAGUAAUCGCGGAUCAGCACGCCGCGGUGAAUACGUUCCCGGGUCUUGUACACACCGCCCGUCACACCAUGGGAGUUUGUAAUGCCCAAAGCCGGUGGCCUAACCUUUUAGGAAGGAGCCGUCUAAGGCAGGACAGAU